Molecule: non-coding RNA, 20819 nt
Organism: Xyrichtys novacula (pearly razorfish)
Lineage: Eukaryota; Metazoa; Chordata; Actinopteri; Labriformes; Labridae
Source: the annotation of a GenBank genome assembly
CGCUCUCUCUGCAAAACCGAAAGGAGGAGCAACUUGCCAUUUGGAUAUAUACUAGCUGUGUUUGUGCCCUCACUCAUGGUCCAGACUUUUUUCAAAUAGGACAUGUAGUUUGUCUGCAGCGAGCGUUUUGGUAGAAACUGCGCCUCCCAUUCAUUAUAAUGGGAAAUGACCACAGACAAGUGCGCACACCAUCUUUGGACCUUGAGUGUGACGCGAUCGGGAGGGGGAGGCGGUCGCGCUGGGGGCGGCGCGACGCGGCUCGGGCCCGACAGUGCCCCACCGGGGCCCUAGUGUUAUUAUUUUUCCUCCGCUUUAAACUGGAAAAUGGCCCACUUCCCACUGGCGAAAACUCAGGAAAUUUGGCAGGACGACCGGGCCUGGUGAAAAAUUCGAUAUUCUGAAGUAGCCCAAACAAUAAAAUGCAAAAUGGCUCCAUAGCGCCCCCUAAGGUGAAAAUUCACAUGACGGCUGUACGCUUUGUCAUAUUGACACAAAAAUUGACACACACAUGUAUCUCAAUAAGAUCUACAAAAAAGUCAGUGCGGGCGUAUCUGUCAAAUGUAUGGUUAAUGGGUUAUUUUGCAUUUUUUGCAGAUCUGCACACAUUGGAAUUUCGCUAACUCCUCCGAAGGCUUUCGUUCGACCGGCACCACAUUUGCGCAGGCCAAUCUACCCCCCAUGGCCAUUAAAAGUUGUACAAAUCAUGACGCUGCACCCCACGGUUUACGUUCUAGGGGGCGCCAAAGAUAACCCAAAAUCCACAUUCUUAAAAGUCUUAUAACUUUUUAUUUUUGUCCUCACUGCCCUCCAAGUUUUCUAGGAUGAUGCAAUGUCCAGCCAUCAACACAUUUGUGAAGGAAUUUUUACUCCCCAAAAGAGCGCCCCCCCAUGGCAGGAGAAAAAAGUCAAUUUUUUCUUGUCCCCAUACAUGAAAAUACACAUUGUUGAGUGUCAUGCCUGAACGCUUUGUCAUAUUGACACAAAAAUUGACAAUCACGUGUAUCUCAAUUAGAUCUACAAAAAAGUCAAAAAGGUCGUAUCUGUAUAAUGUACGGUUAAAGGGCUAUUUCGCAUUUUUUGCCGAUUCGCACACAUUGGAAUGUGGCUAUCUCCUCCUAAGGCUUUCGUCCCACCGAUACCAAAUUUGCUCAGGGCAAUCUACACCCCAUGCCCAUUCAAAGUUGUAAAAAUCAUGACGCUGCACCCCACGGUUUACGUUCUAGGGGGCACCAAAGAUGACCCAAAAAUCCACAUUCUUAAAAGUCAUUUUGGCCACUGCAGGAGUACAGAGUACUGCAGUUCUAGGGGGCGCCAAAGAUGACCCAAAAAUCCACAUUCUUAAAAGUCUUUUUGGCCACUGCAGGAGUACAGAGUACUGCAGGAUACACACACAUACACACACACACACGCACACACACACACACACACAGAGUCUGGUUUUUAGCACCUGCAAAAACAUGCUAUUUACAUAUUUGACAAGAAUGCAGAGGCUCCUUUUGCCCCUGAAAAAAAUCAAAUUUCAAACACAACUUGACUGGUCAUUUCUCCAAAAGACAACCAUGAAGCUCCAUCCAAACCUGAAGCAGGCAGUUGGUGCAUGUGUACAGUAACCUGAGGGGAGUGAGGUGAGUGCUUCUGAGGAGAACAUGAGCAGUGAAGAUUCACCUUGGAGCUAGAACAGAGACAUGCACAUGAUUAUACAGGGGCAGGGGCUCAAGUUUUUUCCAGUCGUUUAUACAAUAUGGAAAUUAAUGUGAAAUUAAAACACAAAGUAUUAAUAGAAAGGUGAUGACUGUCCUGUGUAGGUGACAGUGAUAUCCAAUAGGCUAGGCACUCACGAGGCUGGCUGUGGCAAGUGUAAGUGAAAGCAACACGCACUGGCAGGAAGAACAGCAAACGCCGAUGAAGGAAAAGGGUCUUUGCAGUGAUGGGCGUUACCAGAGAGGGCGAUGGCCAGAGGACACAAAUGGGACGGGAAGGCAGCACGUUGGGGGGGUGGGGGGACGCGACACGGCUCGGGCCCGCCAGUGCCCCAACGGGGUCCUAGUUCUUUCUUCUUUCUUUCUUUCUUUCUUUAGGGCCCGAGCGUAGCUGCUAAGCAGCUGCGAGAGCCCUCUUGUUCCUGAUGGAUUCUUCUUUCGUUAUUUUUCCUCCGCUUUAAACUGGAAAAUGGCCCACUUCCCACUGGCGAAAACUCAGGAAAUUUGGCAGGACGACCGGGCCUGGUGAAAAAUUCGAUAUUCUGAAGUCGCCCAAACAAAAAAAUGAAAAAUGGCUCCAUAGCGCCCCCUAUGGUGAAAACUCACCUGACGCCUGUACGCUUUGUCAAAAUGACACAAAAUUUGACACACAUGUGUAUCUCAAUAAGAUCUACGAAAAAGUCAGUGCGGGCGCAUCUGUGAAAUGUACGGUUAGAGGGUUAUUUCGCAUUUUUUGCAGAUCUGCACACAUUGGAAUUUCGCUAACUCCUCCGAAGGCAUUCGUUCCACCGGCACCACAUUUGCUCAGGCCAAUCUACACCCCAUGGCCAUUAAAAGUUGUACAAAUCAUGACGCUGCACCCCACGGUUUACGUUCUAGGGGGCGCCAAAGAUGACCCACAAAUCCACAUUCUUAAAAAUCUUAUAACUUUUUAUUUUUGUCCUCAUUGGCCUCCAAGUUUUCUAGGAUGAUGCAAUGUCCAGCCAUCAACACAUUUGUGAAGGAAUUUUUACUCCCCAAAACAGCGCCCCCCCAUGGCAGGACAAAAAAGGCCAUUUUUUCUUGUCCCCUAAGGUGAAAAUACACAUUGUUCAGUGUCACGCCUAUACGCUUUGUCAUAUUGACACAAAAUUUGACACACACGUGUAUCUCAAUAAGAUCUACGAAAAAGUCAAUGGGCACAUAUCUGUAAAAUGUACGGUUAAAGGGCUAUCUUGCAUUUUUUGCCGAUUCGCACACAUUAGAAUGUGGCUAACUCCUCCUAAGGCUUUCGUUCUACUGACACCAAAUUUGCUCAGGCCAAUCUACACCCCAUGGCCAUUCAAAGUUGUACAAAUCAUGACGCUGCACCCCACGGUUUAGGUUCUAGGGGGCGCCAAAGAUGACCCAAAUAUCCACAUUUUUAAAAGUCUUAUAACUUUUUAUUUUUGUCCUCACUGGCCUCCAAGUUUUCUAGGAUGAUGCAAUGUGCAGCCAUCAACACAUCUGUGAAGGAAUUUUUUCUCCCCAAAAGAGCGCCCCCCCCCCCAUGGCAGGAGAAAAAGUCAAGUUUUUCCAGCCCAUCGCUUAAUGGCUCAAACGCAUUGCUCUCCCGCUAAAACCAAAAGGAGGAGCAACUUGCCAUUUGGAUAUGUCCUAGCUGUGUUUGUGCCCUCACUCAUGGUCCAGAGUUUUUUCAAAUAGGACAUGUAGUUUGUCUGCAGCGAGCGUUUUGGUAGAAACUGUGCCUCCCAUUCAUUAUAAUGGGAAAUGACCAAAGACAGGUGCGCACACCAUCUUUGGACCUUGACUUUGACGUCACAGUUUGAGAUACAAAUGUUAUUUGACCUCUGACCUUUGGUGGACACCCUAACCUUUCAACCCGCGAAAACGGCGUUUCAAUAGCUCUUACGGCUUUCCUACAAAUACACUUUGUUCAGCUACUCCUACUGUCCUUUAAGCUCUGCUUCUCAGAUCAUCAAAGAGUGUGCACGUGUGUAAUGAGCGCAUAUUGAAUGUUAAUUAUGUUAAAUAUGUUAAUUAUUAGAAGAAAAAACAACAACAGUCCUUUUGGACAAAAUUUCUUUUUAUUACAGAAUUAGAAUAAUGGAAGCAUAGUCCAAGGAAACCAUUCAAGUGAUGUCAUACCUCAUAAUUUAUUGAGAUGUUGGCUAGUCUGGGCAUUUCUUCAUUCAUCAGGUUUCCUGCAUGCAUACUAACAGAGCACAUCAGUAGCAGUGAGUGAUAAGUAUGAGUGUGUCAUUGUGUAAGAAAGAAAGUGGUUUACUUACACAUCCAUAGAAAAUAGGUGGUUGAGCACAGCACGCAAACAAAGCUUUGCCACAACGGUUGAACUUCCCAAGUAGCUGAUACCAAGGUCACACAAUCAUGGUGAGCAAAGGUCAAACCAGGCCAGGCACUCACGAGGCUGGCUGUGGCAAGUGUAAGUGAAAGCAACACGCAAUGGCAGGAAGAACAGCAAACACCGAUGAAGGAAAAGGGUCUUUGCAGUGAUGGGCGUCACCAGAGAGGGCGAUGGCCAGAGGGCACGAAUGGGACGGGGAGGCGGUCGCGCUGGGGGCGGCGCGACGCGGCUCGGGCCCGACAGUGCCCCAACGGGGCCCUAGUUCUUUCUUUCUUUCUUCUUUUUCCUCCCCUUUGAACUGGAAAAUGGCCCACUUCCCACUGGCGAAAACUCAUGAAAUUUGGCAGGACGACCGGGCCUGGUGAAAAAUUCGAUAUUCUGAAGUCGCCCAAACAAUAAAAUGCAAAAUGGCUCCAUAGCGCCCCCUAAGGUGGAAAUUCACACUAUUGACUGUCACGCCUGUACGCUUUGUCAUAUUGACACAAAAAUUGACACACAUAUGUAUCUCAAUAAGAUCUACAAAAAAGUCAGUGCGGCCGUAUCUGUCAAAUGUACGGUUAAAGGGUUAUUUCGCAUUUUUUUCCGAUCCGCACACAUUGGAAUUUCGCUAACUCCUCCGAAGGCUUUCGUUCCACCGGCACCACAUUUGCUCAGGCCAAUCUACACCCCGUGGCCAUUAAAAGUUAUCAAAAUCAUGAUGCUGCACCCCAAGGUUUAGGUUCUAGGGGGCGCCAAAGAUAACACUAAAAUCCACAUAUUUAAAAGUCUUAUAACUUUUUAUUUUUGUCCUCACUGGCCUCCAAGUUUUCUAGGAUGAUGCAAUGUCCAGCCAUCAACACAUUUAUGAAGGAAUUUUUACUCCCCAAAAGAGCGCCCCCCCAUGGCAGGAGAAAAAAGUCCAUUUUUUCUUGUCCCCUAAGGUGAAAAUACAUAUUGUUGAGAUUCACGCCUAUACGCUUUGUCAUAUUGACACAAAAUUUGACAAUCACGUGCCUUGCCUGGUAUCAUUUUUUUCAGCACAACCUCACCUGUGCGAAUUUACAGUUAUUUUAUCAUGUUGACAUACUGAAUUUACACAAUGGACCCAAAUUCACACACAAAACAUAAAAUCCGAGUGGAAAAAAGUAACAUUUUUACUGUGAAAACCACAAAUAUGUGUGAUGAACUGUUUUUAAAACUUAAACUUCAAAUAAAAAUUGUAAACUUCAAAACAUAUGCAAAUUUUUAACAAAGAACAUAGUGAUUUACCUCUAUUUACAUCAAAAUGCAGGCAAUGGCCCAGGCGUUCUUUGUAAAAUUAUUUACAAAACACUGUAUAGUCUCACAAAUGUCACUUUUUAUUUAUGCCACUACAAAAAAACAUGAUGUAAAUGAUGCAUGAUGUAAAACAUGAUGUAAAAAACUUGUGUAGAUCCUCCUCUAUGUCAGUCCAUGUGUAAUUUUUCCAUAAUUCUUUGUUUUUUGCAGCAUUUUUGUUAGUGUAACUGCAGAUUGUGCUGACAGUGUCUAUGGCACAAAAAAAAAAAAAAUUAAAAUGCCUCAACAUGAACCCCUGGUGGUCUCUGAGGGUGAAACCUGCUAACUGCUGCAGCUCUGUCAGCUUCAGUCUCCCAUGCAGAGCUCUGAGCGCAUGUGUGGCUCUGCACCCUUAGCAGCGUUGCUAACUCCUCAGUAAGGAAAGCCUGCUUCAUGUCAGAGUCUCUAAACUCCAGAAGAAGUCGAUAAAAGUCCCUUUCUUUCUAAAAAAAGUCGUUAGGGGGUCUGAAAAGUCAUUGAAUCUAACAACAAAGUCGCUAGGUUUGCAACUACGUGUCCCAGACUGCAUCCCUGCUGAGAGUCCCUCCCUCCCUUCUCAUGUUGCAGGAAGAACGUAAGCGCCCGCCCCUUGUCAAUCAGUCACCAUAUAAUUUUGGAUUGGUUGUUGUGGUGAAGUUUUACACCAAUAGGAGAGAUGUUGUGGUGUGUUUUUUUUUCUUUUGGCAAGCCUUUUCCGCCUGUAAGACCUGUCGCUAAUGUCUGCAUGCUAUGUUUUCCUGUCUCAUACAGCGCGAUCGAGCGCCGAACGUGAUCAAAAUAAGCAGAAAAAAAGUAUCGCGGACAUAAUUUAUCAUAACUCUGGUUUUAUUUGGCCUAUCAACACAAUUUAAAAACUGGUAUAUAGGUUGAGGUCCUCACUUUUGAGAUAAGUUGAAACGGAGAGUCAACGAGGCUCCGUCUUGCAGCUACAUCCGGUUAAAUAUGUCAUGUGACUUGAACGCACACACAGACACACACACACGCACACACACACACACACACACACACACACUCAGAGUCUGGUUUUUAGCACCUGCAAAAACAUGCUAUUUACAUAUUUGACAAGAAUGCAGAGGCUCCUUUUGCCCCUGAAAAAAAUCAAAUUUCAAACACAACUUGACUGGUCAUUUCUCCAAAAGACAACCAUGAAGCUCCAUCCAAACCUGAAGCAGGCAGUUGGUGCAUGUGUACAGUAACCUGAGGGGAGUGAGGUGAGUGCUUCUGAGGAGAACAUGAGCAGUGAAGAUUCACCUUGGAGCUAGAACAGAGACAUGCACAUGAUUAUACAGGGGCAGGGGCUCAAGUUUUUUCCAGUCGUUUUUACAAUAUGGAAAUUAAUGUGAAAUUAAAACACAAAGUAUUAAUAGAAAGGUAAUGACUGUCCUGUGUAGGUGACAGUGAUAUCCAAUAGGCUAGGCACUCACGAGGCUGGCUGUGGCAAGUGUAAGUGAAAGCAACACGCACUGGCAGGAAGAACAGCAAACGCCGAUGAAGGAAAAGGGACUUUGCAGUGAUGGGCGUUACCAGAGAGGGCGAUGGCCAGAGGACACAAAUGGGACGGGGAGGCAGCACGUUGGGGGGGGGGGGGGGGGUGGGGCGACACGGCUCGGGCCCGCCAGUGCCCCAACGGGGUCCUAGUUCUUUCUUCUUUCUUUCUUUCUUUCUUUAGGGCCCGAGCGUAGCUGCUAAGCAGCUGCGAGAGCCCUCUUGUUCCUGAUGGAUUCUUCUUUUGUUAUUAUUUAUUAGGGCCCGAGCCAGCUGCAGAGCAGCCGGGCGUAGGCCCUAUUAUUCCCCAAGUGGUUUUUCUUUGUUUCUUUCUUUCUUAGGGCCCGAGCGUAGCUGCUAAGCAGCUGCGAGAGCCCUCUUGUUCCUGCAUGUUUCCUUCUUUUGUUAUUUAUUAUUAGGGCCCGAGCGUAGCUGCUAAGCAGCUGCGAGAGCCCUCUUGUUCCUGCAUGUUUCCUUCUUUUGUUAUUAUUAUUAGGGCCCGAGCCAGCUGCAGAGCAGCCGGGCGUAGGCCCUAUUAUUCCCCAAGUGGUUUUUCUUUGUUUCUUUCUUUCUUUUUUCUUUUUCCUCCCCUUUGAACUGGAAAAUGGCCCACUUCCCACUGGCGAAAACUCAUGAAAUUUGGCAGGAUGACCGGGCCUGGUGAAAAAUUUGAUAUUCUGAAGUCGCCCAAACAAUAAAAUGCAAAAUGGCUCCAUAGCGCCCCCUAAGGUGAAAAUUCACACUAUUGACUGUCACGCCUGUACGCUUUGUCAUAUUGACACAAAAAUUGACACACAUAUGUAUCUCAAUAAGAUCUACAAAAAAGUCAGUGCGGCCGUAUCUGUCAAAAUUACGGUUAAAGGGUUAUUUCGCAUUUUUUGCCGAUCCGCACACAUUGGAAUUUCGCUAACUCCUCCGAAGGCUUUCGUUCCACCGGCACCACAUUUGCUCAGGCCAAUCUACACCCCGUGGCCAUUAAAAGUUAUCAAAAUCAUGACGCUGCACCCCAAGGUUUAGGUUCUAGGGGGCGCCAAAGAUAACACUAAAAUCCACAUAUUUAAAAGUCUUAUAACUUUUUAUUUUUGUCCUCACUGGCCUCCAAGUUUUCUAGGAUGAUGCAAUGUCCAGCCAUCAACACAUUUGUGAAGGAAUUUUUACUCCCCAAAAGAGCGCCCCCCCAUGGCAGGAGAAAAAAGUCCAUUUUUUCAUGUCCCCUAAGGUGAAAAUACACAUUGUUGAGUGUCACGCCUAUACGCUUUGUCAAAAUGACACAAAAAUUGACACACACAUGUAACUCAAUAAGAUCUACGAAAAAGUCAAUGCGCCCGUAUCUGUCAAAUGUACGGUUAAAGGGUUAUUCCGCAUUUUUUGCCGAUCCGCACACAUUGGAAUUUCGCUAACUCCUCCUAAGGCUUUCGUUCCACCGGCACCACAUUUGCUCAGGCCAAUCUACACCCCAUGGCCAUUAAAAGUUAUCAAAAUCAUGACGCUGCACCCCACGGUUUAGGUUCUAGGGGGCGCCAAAGAUAACCCUAAAAUCCACAUAUUUAAAAGUCUUAUAACUUUUUAUUUUUGUCCUCACUGGCCUCCAAGUUUUCUAGGAUGAUGCAAUGUCCAGCCAUCAACACAUUUGUGAAGGAAUUUUUACUCCCCAAAAGAGCGCCCCCCCAUGGCAGGAGAAAAAAGUCAAUUUUUGUCUUGUCCCUUAAGGUGAAAAUACAUAUUGUUGAGAUUCACGCCUAUAUGCUUUGUCAUAUUGACACAAAAUUUGACAAUCACGUGCCUUGCCUGGUAUCAUUUUUUUCAGCACAACCUCACCUGUGCGAAUUUACAGUUAUUUUAUCAUGUUGACAUACUGAAUUUACACAAUGGACCCAAAUUCACACACAAAACAUAAAAUCCGAGUGGAAAAAAGUAACAUUUUUACUGUGAAAACCACAAAUAUGUGUGAUGAACUGUUUUUAAAACUUAAACUUCAAAUAAAAAUUGUAAACUUCAAAACAUAUGCAAAUUUUUAACAAAGAACAUAGUGAUUUACCUCUAUUUACAUCAAAAUGCAGGCAAUGGCCCAGGCGUUCUUUGUAAAAUUAUUUACAAAACACUGUAUAGUCUCACAAAUGUCACUUUUUAUUUAUGCCACUACAAAAAAACAUGAUGUAAAUGAUGCAUGAUGUAAAACAUGAUGUAAAAAACUUGUAUAGAUCCUCCUCUAUGUCAGUCCAUGUGUAAUUUUUCCAUAAUUCUUUGUUUUUUGCAGCAUUUUUGUUAGUGUAACUGCAGAUUGUGCUGACAGUGUCUAUGGCACAAAAAAAAAAAAAAAAUUAAAAUGCCUCAACAUGAACCCCUGGUGGUCUCUGAGGUUGAAACCUGCUAACUGCUGCAGCUCUGUCAGCUUCAGUCUCCCAUGCAGAGCUCUGAGCGCAUGUGUGGCUCUGCACCCUUAGCAGCGUUGCUAACUCCUCAGUAAGGAAAGCCUGCUUCAUGUCAGAGUCUCUAAACUCCAGAAGAAGUCGAUAAAAGUCCCUUUCUUUCUAAAAAAAAGUCGUUAGGGGGUCUGAAAAGUCAUUGAAUCUAACAACAAAGUCGCUAGGUUUGCAACUACGUGUCCCAGACUGCAUCCCUGCUGAGAGUCCCUCCCUCCCUUCUCAUGUUGCAGGAAGAACGUAAGCGCCCGCCCCUUGUCAAUCAGUCACCAUAUAAUUUUGGAUUGGUUGUUGUGGUGAAGUUUUCCACCAAUAGGAGAGAUGUUGUGGUGUGUUUUUUUUUUCUUUUGGCAAGCCUUUUCCGCCUGUAAGAGCUGUCGCUAAUGUCUGCAUGCUAUGUUUUCCUGUCUCAUACAGCGCGAUCGAGCGCCGAACGUGAUCAAAAUAAGCAGAAAAAAAGUAUCGCGGACAUAAUUUAUCAUAACUCUGGUUUUAUUUGGCCUAUCAACACAAUUUAAAAACUGGUAUAUAGGUUGAGGUCCUCACUUUUGAGAUAAGUUGAAACGGAGAGUCAACGAGGCUCCGUCUUGCAGCUACAUCCGGUUAAAUAUGUCAUGUGACUUGAACGCACACACAGACACACACACACGCACACACACACACACACACACACACACACACACACACACACACACACACACACACACACACACACACACACACUCAGAGUCUGGUUUUUAGCACCUGCAAAAACAUGCUAUUUACAUAUUUGACAAGAAUGCAGAGGCUCCUUUUGCCCCUGAAAAAAAUCAAAUUUCAAACACAACUUGACUGCUCAUUUCUCCAAAAGACAACCAUGAAGCUCCAUCCAAACCUGAAGCAGGCAGUUGGUGCAUGUGUACAGUAACCUGAGGGGAGUGAGGUGAGUGCUUCUGAGGAGAACAUGAGCAGUGAAGAUUCACCUUGGAGCUAGAACAGAGACAUGCACAUGAUUAUACAGGGGCAGGGGCUCAAGUUUUUUCCAGUCGUUUAUACAAUAUGGAAAUUAAUGUGAAAUUAAAACACAAAGUAUUAAUAGAAAGGUAAUGACUGUCCUGUGUAGGUGACAGUGAUAUCCAAUAGGCUAGGCACUCACGAGGCUGGCUGUGGCAAGUGUAAGUGAAAGCAACACGCACUGGCAGGAAGAACAGCAAACGCAGAUGAAGGAAAAGGGUCUUUGCAGUGAUGGGCGUUACCAGAGAGGGCGAUGGCCAGAGGACACAAAUGGGACGGGGAGGCAGCACGUUGGGGGGGGGGGGGGACGCGACACGGCUCGGGCCCGCCAGUGCCCCAACGGGGUCCUAGUUAUUUUUCCUCCCCUUUGAACUGGAAAAUGGCCCACUUCCCACUGGCGAAAACUCAUGAAAUUUGGCAGGACGACCGGGCCUGGUGAAAAAUUUGAUAUUCCGAAGUCGCCCAAACAAGAAAAUGCAAAAUGGCUCCAUAGCGCCCCCUAAGGUGAAAAUUCACACUAUUGACUGUCACGCCUGUACGCUUUGUCAAAAUGACACAAAAAUUGACACACACAUGUAUCUCAAUAAGAUCUACAAAAAAGUCAGUGCGGGCGUAUCUGUCAAAUAUACGGUUAAAGGGUUAUUUCGCAUUUUUUGCCGAUCCGCACACAUUGGAAUUUCGCUAACUCCUCCGAAGGCUUUCGUUCCACCGGCACCACAUUUGCUCAGGCCAAUCUACACCCCGUGGCCAUUAAAAGUUAUCAAAAUCAUGACGCUGCACCCCAAGGUUUAGGUUCUAGGGGGCGCCAAAGAUAACACUAAAAUCCACAUAUUUAAAAGUCUUAUAACUUUUUAUUUUUGUCCUCACUGGCCUCCAAGUUUUCUAGGAUGAUGCAAUGUCCAGCCAUCAACACAUUUGUGAAGGAAUUUUUACUCCCCAAAAGAGCGCCCCCCCAUGGCAGGAGAAAAAAGUCCAUUUUUUCUUGUCCCCUAAGGUGAAAAUACACAUUGUUGAGUGUCACGCCUAUACGCUUUGUCAAAAUGACACAAAAAUUGACACACACAUGUAACUCAAUAAGAUCUACGAAAAAGUCAAUGCGCGCGUAUCUGUCAAAUGUACGGUUAAAGGGUUAUUCCGCAUUUUUUGCCGAUCCGCACACAUUGGAAUGUGGCUAACUCCUCCUAAGGCUUUCGUUCCACCGGCACCACAUUUGCUCAGGACAAUCUACACCCCAUGGCCAUUAAAAGUUAUUCAAAUCAUGACGCUGCACCCCACGGUUUAGGUUCUAGGGGGCGCCAAAGAUAACCCUAAAAUCCACAUAUUUAAAAGUCUUAUAACUUUUUAUUUUUGUCCUCACUGGCCUCCAAGUUUUCUAGGAUGAUGCAAUGUCCAGCCAUCAACACAUUUGUGAAGGAAUUUUUACUCCCCAAAAGAGCGCCCCCCCAUGGCAGGAGAAAAAAGUCCAUUUUUUCUUGUCCCCUAAGGUGAAAAUACAUAUUGUUGAGAUUCACGCCUAUAUGCUUUGUCAUAUUGACACAAAAUUUGACAAUCACGUGCCUUGCCUGGUAUCAUUUUUUUCAGCACAACCUCACCUGUGCGAAUUUACAGUUAUUUUAUCAUGUUGACAUACUGAAUUUACACAAUGGACCCAAAUUCACACACAAAACAUAAAAUCCGAGUGGAAAAAAGUAACAUUUUUACUGUGAAAACCACAAAUAUGUGUGAUGAACUGUUUUUAAAACUUAAACUUCAAAUAAAAAUUGUAAACUUCAAAACAUAUGCAAAUUUUUAACAAAGAACAUAGUGAUUUACCUCUAUUUACAUCAAAAUGCAGGCAAUGGCCCAGGCGUUCUUUGUAAAAUUAUUUACAAAACACUGUAUAGUCUCACAAAUGUCACUUUUUAUUUAUGCCACUACAAAAAAACAUGAUGUAAAUGAUGCAUGAUGUAAAACAUGAUGUAAAAAACUUGUGUAGAUCCUCCUCUAUGUCAGUCCAUGUGUAAUUUUUCCAUAAUUCUUUGUUUUUUGCAGCAUUUUUGUUAGUGUAACUGCAGAUUGUGCUGACAGUGUCUAUGGCACAAAAAAAAUAAAUAAAUAAAAUGCCUCAACAUGAACCCCUGGUGGUCUCUGAGGGUGAAACCUGCUAACUGCUGCAGCUCUGUCAGCUUCAGUCUCCCAUGCAGAGCUCUGAGCGCAUGUGUGGCUCUGCACCCUUAGCAGCGUUGCUAACUCCUCAGUAAGGAAAGCCUGCUUCAUGUCAGAGUCUCUAAACUCCAGAAGAAGUCGAUAAAAGUCCCUUUCUUUCUAAAAAAAAGUCGUUAGGGGGUCUGAAAAGUCAUUGAAUCUAACAACAAAGUCGCUAGGUUUGCAACUACGUGUCCCAGACUGCAUCCCUGCUGAGAGUCCCUCCCUCCCUUCUCAUGUUGCAGGAAGAACGUAAGCGCCCGCCCCUUGUCAAUCAGUCACCAUAUAAUUUUGGAUUGGUUGUUGUGGUGAAGUUUUCCACCAAUAGGAGAGAUGUUGUGGUGUGUUUUUUUUUUUCUUUGGCAAGCCUUUUCCGCCUGUAAGACCUGUCGCUAAUGUCUGCAUGCUAUGUUUUCCUGUCUCAUACAGCGCGAUCGAGCGCCGAACGUGAUCAAAAUAAGCAGAAAAAAAGUAUCGCGGACAUAAUUUAUCAUAACUCUGGUUUUAUUUGGCCUAUCAACACAAUUUAAAAACUGGUAUAUAGGUUGAGGUCCUCACUUUUGAGAUAAGUUGAAACGGAGAGUCAACGAGGCUCCGUCUUGCAGCUACAUCCGGUUAAAUAUGUCAUGUGACUUGAACGCACACACAGACACACACACACGCACACACACACACACACACACACACACACACACACUCAGAGUCUGGUUUUUAGCACCUGCAAAAACAUGCUAUUUACAUAUUUGACAAGAAUGCAGAGGCUCCUUUUGCCCCUGAAAAAAAUCAAAUUUCAAACACAACUUGACUGGUCAUUUCUCCAAAAGACAACCAUGAAGCUCCAUCCAAACCUGAAGCAGGCAGUUGGUGCAUGUGUACAGUAACCUGAGGGGAGUGAGGUGAGUGCUUCUGAGGAGAACAUGAGCAGUGAAGAUUCACCUUGGAGCUAGAACAGAGACAUGCACAUGAUUAUACAGGGGCAGGGGCUCAAGUUUUUUCCAGUCGUUUAUACAAUAUGGAAAUUAAUGUGAAAUUAAAACACAAAGUAUUAAUAGAAAGGUAAUGACUGUCCUGUGUAGGUGACAGUGAUAUCGAAUAGGCUAGGCACUCACGAGGCUGGCUGUGGCAAGUGUAAGUGAAAGCAACACGCACUGGCAGGAAGAACAGCAAACGCCGAUGAAGGAAAAGGGACUUUGCAGUGAUGGGCGUUACCAGAGAGGGCGAUGGCCAGAGGACACAAAUGGGACGGGGAGGCAGCACGUUGGGGGGGGGGGGGCGACACGGCUCGGGCCCGCCAGUGCCCCAACGGGGUCCUAGUUCUUUCUUCUUUCUUUCUUUCUUUCUUUAGGGCCCGAGCGUAGCUGCUAAGCAGCUGCGAGAGCCCUCUUGUUCCUGAUGGAUUCUUCUUUUGUUAUUAUUUAUUAGGGCCCGAGCCAGCUGCAGAGCAGCCGGGCGUAGGCCCUAUUAUUCCCCAAGUGGUUUUUCUUUGUUUCUUUCUUUCUUAGGGCCCGAGCGUAGCUGCUAAGCAGCUGCGAGAGCCCUCUUGUUCCUGCAUGUUUCCUUCUUUUGUUAUUUAUUAUUAGGGCCCGAGCGUAGCUGCUAAGCAGCUGCGAGAGCCCUCUUGUUCCUGCAUGUUUCCUUCUUUUGUUAUUAUUAUUAUUUUUCCUCCCCUUUGAACUGGAAAAUGGCCCACUUCCCACUGGCGAAAACUCAUGAAAUUUGGCAGGACGACCGGGCCUGGUGAAAAAUUUGAUAUUCCGAAGUCGCCCAAACAAGAAAAUGCAAAAUGGCUCCAUAGCGCCCCCUAAGGUGAAAAUUCACACUAUUGACUGUCACGCCUGUACGCUUUGUCAAAAUGACACAAAAAUUGACACACACAUGUAUCUCAAUAAGAUCUACAAAAAAGUCAGUGCGGGCGUAUCUGUCAAAUAUACGGUUAAAGGGUUAUUUCGCAUUUUUUGCCGAUCCGCACACAUUGGAAUUUCGCUAACUCCUCCGAAGGCUUUCGUUCCACCGGCACCACAUUUGCUCAGGCCAAUCUACACCCCGUGGCCAUUAAAAGUUAUCAAAAUCAUGACGCUGCACCCCAAGGUUUAGGUUCUAGGGGGCGCCAAAGAUAACACUAAAAUCCACAUAUUUAAAAGUCUUAUAACUUUUUAUUUUUGUCCUCACUGGCCUCCAAGUUUUCUAGGAUGAUGCAAUGUCCAGCCAUCAACACAUUUGUGAAGGAAUUUUUACUCCCCAAAAGAGCGCCCCCCCAUGGCAGGAGAAAAAAAGUCCAUUUUUUCUUGUCCCCUAAGGUGAAAAUACACAUUGUUGAGUGUCACGCCUAUACGCUUUGUCAAAAUGACACAAAAAUUGACACACACAUGUAACUCAAUAAGAUCUACGAAAAAGUCAAUGCGCGCGUAUCUGUCAAAUGUACGGUUAAAGGGUUAUUCCGCAUUUUUUGCCGAUCCGCACACAUUGGAAUGUGGCUAACUCCUCCUAAGGCUUUCGUUCCACCGGCACCACAUUUGCUCAGGACAAUCUACACCCCAUGGCCAUUAAAAGUUAUUCAAAUCAUGACGCUGCACCCCACGGUUUAGGUUCUAGGGGGCGCCAAAGAUAACCCUAAAAUCCACAUAUUUAAAAGUCUUAUAACUUUUUAUUUUUGUCCUCACUGGCCUCCAAGUUUUCUAGGUUGAUGCAAUGUCCAGCCAUCAACACAUUUGUGAAGGAAUUUUUACUCCCCAAAAGAGCGCCCCCCCAUGGCAGGAGAAAAAAGUCAAUUUUUGUCUUGUCCCUUAAGGUGAAAAUACAUAUUGUUGAGAUUCACGCCUAUAUGCUUUGUCAUAUUGACACAAAAUUUGACAAUCACGUGCCUUGCCUGGUAUCAUUUUUUUCAGCACAACCUCACCUGUGCGAAUUUACAGUUAUUUUAUCAUGUUGACAUACUGAAUUUACACAAUGGACCCAAAUUCACACACAAAACAUAAAAUCCGAGUGGAAAAAAGUAACAUUUUUACUGUGAAAACCACAAAUAUGUGUGAUGAACUGUUUUUAAAACUUAAACUUCAAAUAAAAAUUGUAAACUUCAAAACAUAUGCAAAUUUUUAACAAAGAACAUAGUGAUUUACCUCUAUUUACAUCAAAAUGCAGGCAAUGGCCCAGGCGUUCUUUGUAAAAUUAUUUACAAAACACUGUAUAGUCUCACAAAUGUCACUUUUUAUUUAUGCCACUACAAAAAAACAUGAUGUAAAUGAUGCAUGAUGUAAAACAUGAUGUAAAAAACUUGUGUAGAUCCUCCUCUAUGUCAGUCCAUGUGUAAUUUUUCCAUAAUUCUUUGUUUUUUGCAGCAUUUUUGUUAGUGUAACUGCAGAUUGUGCUGACAGUGUCUAUGGCACAAAAAAAAAAUAAAUAAAAUGCCUCAACAUGAACCCCUGGUGGUCUCUGAGGGUGAAACCUGCUAACUGCUGCAGCUCUGUCAGCUUCAGUCUCCCAUGCAGAGCUCUGAGCGCAUGUGUGGCUCUGCACCCUUAGCAGCGUUGCUAACUCCUCAGUAAGGAAAGCCUGCUUCAUGUCAGAGUCUCUAAACUCCAGAAGAAGUCGAUAAAAGUCUCUUUCUUUCAAAAAAAAGUCGUUAGGGGGUCUGAAAAGUCAUUGAAUCUAACAACAAAGUCGCUAGGUUUGCAACUACGUGUCCCAGACUGCAUCCCUGCUGAGAGUCCCUCCCUCCCUUCUCAUGUUGCAGGAAGAACGUAAGCGCCCGCCCCUUGUCAAUCAGUCACCAUAUAAUUUUGGAUUGGUUGUUGUGGUGAAGUUUUCCACCAAUAGGAGAGAUGUUGUGGUGUGUUUUUUUUUUCUUUUGGCAAGCCUUUUCCGCCUGUAAGACCUGUCGCUAAUGUCUGCAUGCUAUGUUUUCCUGUCUCAUACAGCGCGAUCGAGCGCCGAACGUGAUCAAAAUAAGCAGAAAAAAAGUAUCGCGGACAUAAUUUAUCAUAACUCUGGUUUUAUUUGGCCUAUCAACACAAUUUAAAAACUGGUAUAUAGGUUGAGGUCCUCACUUUUGAGAUAAGUUGAAACGGAGAGUCAACGAGGCUCCGUCUUGCAGCUACAUCCGGUUAAAUAUGUCAUGUGACUUGAACGCACACACAGACACACACACACGCACACACACACACACACACACACACACACACACACACACACACACACACACACACACACACUCAGAGUCUGGUUUUUAGCACCUGCAAAAACAUGCUAUUUACAUAUUUGACAAGAAUGCAGAGGCUCCUUUUGCCCCUGAAAAAAAUCAAAUUUCAAACACAACUUGAUUGGUCAUUUCUCCAAAAGACAACCAUGAAGCUCCAUCCAAACCUGAAGCAGGCAGUUGGUGCAUGUGUACAGUAACCUGAGGGGAGUGAGGUGAGUGCUUCUGAGGAGAACAUGAGCAGUGAAGAUUCACCUUGGAGCUAGAACAGAGACAUGCACAUGAUUAUACAGGGGCAGGGGCUCAAGUUUUUUCCAGUCGUUUAUACAAUAUGGAAAUUAAUGUGAAAUUAAAACACAAAGUAUUAAUAGAAAGGUAAUGACUGUCCUGUGUAGGUGACAGUGAUAUCCAAUAGGCUAGGCACUCACGAGGCUGGCUGUGGCAAGUGUAAGUGAAAGCAACACGCACUGGCAGGAAGAACAGCAAACGCCGAUGAAGGAAAAGGGUCUUUGCAGUGAUGGGCGUUACCAGAGAGGGCGAUGGCCAGAGGACACAAAUGGGACGGGGAGGCAGCACGUUGGGGGGGGGGGACGCGACACGGCUCGGGCCCGCCAGUGCCCCAACGGGGUCCUAGUUAGGGCCCGAGCCAGCUGCAGAGCAGCCGGGCGUAGGCCCUAUUAUUCCCCAAGUGGUUUUUCUUUGUUUCUUUCUUUCUUUCUUUAGGGCCCGAGCGUAGCUGCUAAGCAGCUGCGAGAGCCCUCUUGUUCCUGCAUGUUUCCUUCUUUCGUUAUUAUUUUUCCUCCGCUUUAAACUGGAAAAUGGCCCACUUCCCACUGGCGAAAACUCAGGAAAUUUGGCAGGACGACCGGGCCUGGUGAAAAAUUCGAUAUUCUGAAGUCGCCCAAACAAUAAAAUGCAAAAUGGCUCCAUAGCGCCCCCUAAGGUGAAAAUUCACAUGACGGCUGUACGCUUUGUCAUAUUGACACAAAAAUUGACACACACAUGUAUCUCAAUAAGAUCUACAAAAAAGUCAGUGCGGGCGUAUCUGUCAAAUGUACGGUUAAUGGGUUAUUUUGCAUUUUUUGCAGAUCUGCACACAUUGGAAUUUCGCUAACUCCUCCGAAGGCUUUCGUUCGACCGGCACCACAUUUGCGCAGGCCAAUCUACCCCCCAUGGCCAUUAAAAGUUGUACAAAUCAUGACGCUGCACCCCACGGUUUACGUUCUAGGGGGCGCCAAAGAUAACCCAAAAUCCACAUUCUUAAAAGUCUUAUAACUUUUUAUUUUUGUCCUCACUGCCCUCCAAGUUUUCUAGGAUGAUGCAAUGUCCAGCCAUCAACACAUUUGUGAAGGAAUUUUUACUCCCCAAAAGAGCGCCCCCCCAUGGAAGGAGAAAAAAGUCAAUUUUUUCUUGUCCCCUUACAUGAAAAUACACAUUGUUGAGUGUCACGCCUGAACGCUUUGUCAUAUUGACACAAAAAUUGACAAUCAUGUGUAUCUCAAUUAGAUCUACGAAAAAGUCAAAAGGCGCGUAUCUGUAUAAUGUACGGUUAAAGGGCUAUUUCGCAUUUUUUGCCGAUUCGCACACAUUGGAAUGUGGCUAUCUCCUCCUAAGGCUUUCGUCCCACCGAUACCAAAUUUGCUCAGGGCAAUCUACACCCCAUGCCCAUUCAAAGUUGUAAAAAUCAUGACGCUGCACCCCACGGUUUACGUUCUAGGGUGCGCCAAAGAUGACCAAAAAAUCCACAUUCUUAAAAGUCAUUUUGGCCACUGCAGGAGUACAGAGUACUGCAGUUCUAGGGGGCGCCAAAGAUGACCCAAAAAUCCACAUUCUUAAAAGUCUUUUUGGCCACUGCAGGAGUACAGAGUACUGCAGGAUACACACACAUAUACACACACACACACACACACACACACACACACACACACACACACACACACACACUCAGAGUCUGUUUUUUAGCACCUGCAAAAACAUGCUGUUUACAUAUUUGACAAGAAUGCAGAGGCUUCCUUUUGCCGCUGAAAAAAAUCAUAUUUCAAACACAACUUGACUGUUCAUUUCUCCAAAAGACAACCAUGAAGCUCCAUCCAAACCUGAAGCAGGCAGUUGGUGCAUGUGUACAGUAACCUGAGGGGAGUGAGGUGACUAUUUCUGAGGAGAACAUGAGCAGUGAAGAUUCACCUUGGAGCUAGAACAGGGACGUGCACAUGAUUAUACAGGGGCAGGGGCUCAAGUUUUUUCCAGUCAUUUAUACAAUAUGGAAAUUAAUGUGAAAUUAAACCACAAAUAUGUGUGAUGAACUGUUUUUAAAACUUAAACUUCAAAUAAAAAUUGUAAACUUCAAAACAUAUGCAAAUUUUUAACAAAGAACAUAGUAAUUUACCUCUAUUUACAUCAAAAUGCAGGCAAUGGCCCAGGCGUUCUUUGUAAAAUUAUUUACAAAACACUGUAUAGUCUCACAAAUGUCACUUUUUAUUUAUGCCACUACAAAAAAUGAUGAAUGAUGUAAAUGAUGCAUGAUGUAAAACAUGAUGUAAAAAACUUGUGUAGAUCCUCCUCUAUGUCAGUCCAUGUGUAAUUUUUCCAUAAUUCUUUGUUUUUUGCAGCAUUUUUGUUAGUGUAACUGCAGAUUGUGCUGACAGUCUAUGGCAAAAAAAACAAAAACUGAAAAUGCCUCAACAUGAACCCCUGGUGGUCUCUGAGGGUGAAACCUGCUAACUGCUGCAGCUCUGUCAGCUUCAGUCUCCCAUGCAGAGCUCGGAGCGCAUGUGUGGCUCUGCACCCUUAGCAGCGUUGCUAACUCCUCAGUAAGGAAAGCCUGCUUCAUGUCAGAGUCUCUAAACUCCAGAAGAAGUCGAUAAAAGUCCCUUUCUUUCUAAAAAAGUCGUUAGGGGGUCUGAAAAGUAAUUGAAUCUAACAACAAAGUCGCUAGGUUUGCAACUACGUGUCCCAGACUGCAUCCCUGCUGAGAGUCCCUCCCUCCCUUCUCAUAUUGCAGGAAGAACGUAAGCGCCCGCCCCUUGUCAAUCAGUCACCAUAUAAUUUUGGAUUGGUUGUUGUGGUGAAGUUUUCCACCAAUAGGAGAGAUGUUGUGGUGUGUUUUUUUUUCUUUUGGCAAGCCUUUUCCGCCUGUAAGACCUGUCGCUAAUGUGUGCAUGCUAUGUUUUCCUGUCUCAUACAGCGCGAUCGAGCGCCGAACGUGAUAAAAAUAAGCAGAAAAAAAGUAUCGCGGACAUAAUUUAUCAUAACUCUGGUUUUAUUUGGCCUAUCAACACAAUUUAAAAACUGGUAUAUAGUUUGAGGUCCUCACUUUUGAGAUAAGUUGAAACGGAGAGUUAACGAGGCUCCGUCUUGCAGCUACAUCCGGUUAAAUAUGUCAUGUGACUUGAACGUGGGGAGCGUCAAUCGAAUCGAAUCAAACCUAACUCUCAGAUGAAUCUUCAAAAUUCCCCUCAGAAAUAUGCUUAUUAUUCUUCUCAGAGUACUGCAGGAUACACACACACACACACACACACACACACACACACACACACACACACACACACACACACUCAGAGUCUGUUUUUUAGCACCUGCAAAAACAUGCUAUUUACAUAUUUGACAAGAAUGCAGAGGCUUCCUUUUGCCCCUGAAAAAAAUCAAAUUUCAAACACAACUUGACUGCUCAUUUCUCCAAAAGACAACCAUGAAGCUCCAUCCAAACCUGAAGCAGGCAGUUGGUGCAUGUGUACAGUAACCUGAGGGGAGUGAGGUGACUGCUUCUGAGGAGAACAUGAGCAGUGAAGAUUCACCUUGGAGCUAGAACAGGGACGUGCACAUGAUAAUACAGGGGCAGGGGCUCAAGUUUUUUCCAGUCGUUUAUACAAUAUGGAAAUUAAUGUGAAAUUAAAAAACAAAGUAUGACUGUCCUGUGUAGGUGACAGUGAUAUCCAAUAGGCUAGGCACUCACGAGGCUGGCUGUGGCAAGUGUAAGUGAAAGCAACACGCACUGGCAGGAAGAACAGCAAACGCCGAUGAAGGAAAAGGGUCUUUGCAGUGAUGGGCGUUACCAGAGAGGGCGAUGGCCAGAGGACAUGAAUGUGACGGGGAGGCAGCGCGUUGGGGGGGGGGGGGUGCGACACGGCUCGGGCCCGCCAGUGCCCCAACGGGGCCCUAGUCUUCUUCUUCUUAUUAGGGCCCGAGCCAGCUGCAGAGCAGCC